RNAcentral lists this ribosomal RNA (468 nucleotides) under uncultured bacterium. RNAcentral's name for it is "partial 16S ribosomal RNA". It matches the Rfam family "Bacterial small subunit ribosomal RNA", at positions 28 to 507 of the family's 1533-position model. The record is from RNAcentral.
GACGAACGCUGGCGGCGUGCUUAACACAUGCGAGUCGAACGGAAAGGCCCUGCUUUUGUGGGGUGCUCGAGUGGCGAACGGGUGAGUAACACGUGAGUAACCUGCCCUUGACUUUGGGAUAACUUCAGGAAACUGGGGCUAAUACCGCAUAGGAGCUCCUGCUGCAUGGUGGGGGUUGGAAAGUUUCGGCGGUUGGGGAUGGACUCGCGGCUUAUCAGCUUGUUGGUGGGGUAGUGGCUUACCAAGGCUUUGACGGGUAGCCGGCCUGAGAGGGUGACCGGCCACAUUGGGACUGAGAUACGGCCCAGACUCCUACGGGAGGCAGCAGUGGGGAAUAUUGCACAAUGGGCGGAAGCCUGAUGCAGCAACGCCGCGUGCGGGAUGACGGCCUUCGGGUUGUAAACCGCUUUCGCCUGUGACGAAGCGUGAGUGACGGUAAUGGGUAAAGAAGCACCGGCUAACUACGUG